GAUGAACGCUGGCGGCGUGCCUAAUACAUGCAAGUCGAGCGAAUGGAUUAAGAGCUUGCUCUUAUGAAGUUAGCGGCGGACGGGUGAGUAACACGUGGGUAACCUGCCCAUAAGACUGGGAUAACUCCGGGAAACCGGGGCUAAUACCGGAUAAUAUUUUGAACUGCAUGGUUCAAAAUUGAAAGGCGGCUUCGGCUGUCACUUAUGGAUGGACCCGCGUCGCAUUAGCUAGUUGGUGAGGUAACGGCUCACCAAGGCAACGAUGCGUAGCCGACCUGAGAGGGGGAUCGGCCACACGGGGACUGGGACCCGGCCCAGACUCCUACGGGAGGCAGCAGUAGGGAAUCUUCCGCAAUGGACGAAAGUCUGACGGAGCAACGCCGCGUGAGUGAUGAAGGCUUUCGGGUCGUAAAACUCUGUUGUUAGGGAAGAACAAGUGCUAGUUGAAUAAGCUGGCACCUUGACGGUACCUAACCAGAAAGCCACGGCUAACUACGUGCCAGCCGCCGCGGUAA
RNAcentral lists this ribosomal RNA (515 nucleotides) under uncultured bacterium. Its description in RNAcentral is "partial 16S ribosomal RNA". It matches the Rfam family "Bacterial small subunit ribosomal RNA", at positions 28 to 523 of the family's 1533-position model. The record is from RNAcentral.